Danaus plexippus (monarch butterfly) is the source of this 837-nucleotide long non-coding RNA. RefSeq lists it as uncharacterized. The transcript has 4 exons. NCBI's taxonomy places the organism in Eukaryota, Metazoa, Arthropoda, Insecta, Lepidoptera, Nymphalidae. The record is from RefSeq and is a predicted model, not a curated record.
CUUUGGUUGAAAUUAACUUACCCUCGCGUUAUUUUUGUGCCGAGAGUAAAUUGUCAAUAUUCGGCUUAGUUGUUUGGAGACAACAGAAAAUAAACACAUAUUUUUUUAUAUAGUUAUGUGUUAUCAAUUAUGAAGGGUAGUUAAAAUUAUGAGACGUACUCUGCAUAACCACCAGCGUAGCCACCUGUGCAAGUGCAGUCAUAACAAUGAGUAUCGAUUGGUAUAAAUAGAGCUGAGAGUAAAAACUAAAAACCUUCUUGUUCAAGCCUUGGCAUAUUCCUCUACCUUCAAUACCUUGAGACUGACGAUAAUCAAGAAUAAAGGCAUUGGUGACGUCACACGAGGGGAUUAUACCUCCGACGUAUAUGUAGAAAUUAAAAACAGUCCAGAGACGAAACCUCUCAGCAUCCCAUGGAUUCACCGUGCGGGUGCCGGGUCCAUCGCGUUGCAGGGAGAGGAGUUUGAAUAUAAUUACGAUCAAGGAAAAACAAACUGGAUGGCCUGUUUUAAAGCAACUGAAUUCUAAUGAGAACAAAGUUGGACAGUGAGUGCGACGGAUAUUAAACUGUUGUAAUUAUUGUUGCCUGGUGUACAAUGAUAACGAUGGAUGCCACGAAAGGGAAUGUCUUAUAUUGUACUAUGUUCAUUGAUAAAUGGGCUUUAUAUAUAAAUUAUUAAAAAUAAAGUAAUUGUUGAAUUCUAAAUGCUUGUUUAGUUAAUAAUUAUAUAAGGCGGCAACCGGAGGUUCCAGGAAAACUACGAAACUUACUUAUAUGUAUAUUAUAAUAAGAAUUACAUAUUAAAACUUAUAACCUAUACCUAAGACUAUAAUAUUGC